RNAcentral lists this long non-coding RNA (264 nucleotides) under Elaeis guineensis (African oil palm). RNAcentral's name for it is "long non-coding RNA (EGUI_LNC010207)". The record is from RNAcentral. Lineage: Eukaryota; Viridiplantae; Streptophyta; Magnoliopsida; Arecales; Arecaceae.
AGAGAGGCCAAGACCGGCAAUCGACAGUGAUCGCCGGCGUCGAAAAAUGAAAGAGAAGAAGAGACCAAACAGGGGUCCCUUCUUCGAUGAAAUUCGAUGACAUCCAUCACUGGCAGUCAUGCCCACAGGCAUGAGAAAGAAGGGAGAGGAGAGAGGAAGCGGAAGAAAGACUUACCUCAGCCUUCGGUGAUCCCGCCAGCGAGAAAUCACGGCGAGCACGAAUCAAGGGCCGCGGCUUCAAUCGGAGAAAUCAGAGAGGAAGAG